Molecule: ribosomal RNA, 439 nt
Filed under: uncultured bacterium
Lineage: Bacteria
Description: partial 16S ribosomal RNA
Rfam family: Bacterial small subunit ribosomal RNA
Source: RNAcentral
CUACGGGCCGCUGCAGUGAGGAAUAUUGCACAAUGGGGGGAACCCUGAUGCAGCAACGCCGCGUGGAGGAUGACGCAUUUCGGUGUGUAAACUCCUUUUAUAUGUCAAGAAAAUGACGGUAGCAUAUGAAUAAGCACCGGCUAACUCCGUGCCAGCAGCCGCGGUAAUACGGAGGGUGCAAGCGUUACUCGGAAUCACUGGGCGUAAAGGACGCGUAGGCGGGUUGGAAAGUCAGGUGUGAAAUCCUACAGCUUAACUGUAGAACUGCACUUGAAACUUCUAAUCUAGAGUAUGGGAGGGGGGGAUGGAAUUAGUGGUGUAGGGGUAAAAUCCGUAGAUAUCACUAGGAAUACCUAAAGCGAAGGCGAUUUCCUGGAACAUUACUGACGCUAAGGCGUGAAAGCGUGGGGAGCAAACCGGAUUAGAUACCCUGGUAGUC